CCUACGGGAGGCAGCGAUGAGGAAUUUUUGGCAAUGGGCGCAAGCCUGACCGARCAACGCCGCGUGCRGGAUGAAGGUCUUCGGAUUGUAAACUSCUUUCSUCGGGGACGAAUACGGACGGUACCNGAGGARAARGCCCCGGUUAAUUMCGUGCCAGCAGCCGCGGUAAU
This 170-nucleotide ribosomal RNA is filed under the name uncultured bacterium. Its description in RNAcentral is "partial 16S rRNA". It matches the Rfam family "Bacterial small subunit ribosomal RNA", at positions 338 to 524 of the family's 1533-position model. The record is from RNAcentral.